AGAGUUGGCCGAGCAGCCGCCGUUUCAUGUAAAUGAAAGGGAGGAAAGUCCGGGCUCCAUAGGGCAGGGUGCCAGGUAAUGCCUGGGAGGUGUGAACCUACGGAAAGUGCCGCAGAGAAUAUACCGCCUGGUUUUUUAUUAAACCCGGUAAGGGUGAAAAGGUGCGGUAAGAGCGCACCGCGCGACUGGUAACAGGCGUGGCAGGGAAAACCCCACCCGGAGCAAGAUCAAAUAGAGGCACAUACGCGUGGCCCGCGCGGUGUCUGGGUAGAUUGCUUGAGCGUUCGGGUGACCGAACGCCUAGAUGAAUGGCUGUUCUCGACAGAACCCGGCUUACAGGCCAACUCUUUCU
This 352-nucleotide RNase P RNA is filed under the name Methylomonas lenta. Its description in RNAcentral is "Bacterial RNase P class A". It matches the Rfam family "Bacterial RNase P class A". Rfam says of the family: Ribonuclease P (RNase P) is a ubiquitous endoribonuclease, found in archaea, bacteria and eukarya as well as chloroplasts and mitochondria. Its best characterised activity is the generation of mature 5'-ends of tRNAs by cleaving the 5'-leader elements of precursor-tRNAs. Lineage: Bacteria; Pseudomonadati; Pseudomonadota; Gammaproteobacteria; Methylococcales; Methylococcaceae. The record is from Rfam by way of RNAcentral.